This is a long non-coding RNA of Tupaia belangeri chinensis (Chinese tree shrew), 719 nucleotides long. RefSeq lists it as uncharacterized. Lineage: Eukaryota; Metazoa; Chordata; Mammalia; Scandentia; Tupaiidae. The record is from RefSeq and is a predicted model, not a curated record. The transcript has 3 exons.
CAGGAACCGCUUAAAGGGCGAGCGCGGCGGAGCGCGAGAACGCGGCCCGGCCCGGCCCGGCCAGGUCCCCGCCCGGUCCAGCCCAGAGCCCAGGCUGAGCGAAGACAGCCGGUGUGAGAGCACUCUUCAGAUCGGACAUGCCAGUUAGUGUGAGUUUACACGGACACUGCCUUUCCUAACUCAGCGUUAACGAGGUCUCUGCCCAGAAAGAGCCAGGACGGUCGUUGUGUUGGGGUGACUUGUCUGACACCCUCAGCUAGCCACGAUGUAGCGGAGGCUUCAAGGUAGCCUUGUGGCACUCAAUGAAGACAGAUGUGGUAAGACCCGUGUGGGCGUUGUUUGCUCCUGGUCACGUCCGGCACCCGGGCUGCCCGUCAGUGGUCAGUGGUAGAGGAGCCGUGCAGCUGGGAGGAGGUGGUGCGGGAAGCUCCUCGUGGGCGGGGCCCUUGGUAAUGUGAGGUGCCCUGCAGAAGAGCAGAGGGGAGCCCGGCAGGGAACGUCAGAGCCGCUUCAGUAUUCCUCUGUCGGCGCAGCCCUCCCGACACCCGGGUGGCCCGAUCGAGGCUGGCCUUGGUGACCGAAUCCAUAGAGGACCUGUCGUGGCCUGCAGAUUUUUAAAGUGAAACAAGGGGCAUAUAAUCUAUUUUAUCAAGAUUUCAAUCCACAGUGGCAAAGAUAACACGCUUGACCAGAACGGGAGCAACACCGGCUCCCGGACG